GACGAACGCUGGCGGCGUGCUUAACACAUGCAAGUCGAACGGAAAGGCCCUGCUUUUGUGGGGUGCUCGAGUGGCGAACGGGUGAGUAACACGUGAGUAACCUGCCCUUGACUUUGGGAUAACUUCAGGAAACUGGGGCUAAUACCGGAUAGGAGCUCCUGCUGCAUGGUGGGGGUUGGAAAGUUUCGGCGGUUGGGGAUGGACUCGCGGCUUAUCAGCUUGUUGGUGGGGUAGUGGCUUACCAAGGCUUUGACGGGUAGCCGGCCUGAGAGGGUGACCGGCCACAAGGGGACUGAGAGACGGCCCAGACUCCGACGGGAGGCAGCAGUGGGGAAUAUUGCACAAUGGGCGGAAGCCUGAUGCAGCAACGCCGCGUGCGGGAUGACGGCCUUCGGGUUGUAAACCGCUUUCGCCUGUGACGAAGCGUGAGUGACGGUAAUGGGUAAAGAAGCAACGGCUAACUACGUG
Molecule: ribosomal RNA, 468 nt
Filed under: uncultured bacterium
Lineage: Bacteria
Description: partial 16S ribosomal RNA
Rfam family: Bacterial small subunit ribosomal RNA
Source: RNAcentral